Molecule: long non-coding RNA, 409 nt
Filed under: Vigna radiata
Lineage: Eukaryota; Viridiplantae; Streptophyta; Magnoliopsida; Fabales; Fabaceae
Description: long non-coding RNA (VRAD_LNC008840)
Source: RNAcentral
CACACACAACAUACAAGUGCAAGGGUGAGCUAGGUUUCAAACGAACAUACAAAUCAUAGCAAAGUGAUCAAACAUUACCGAAAACAUAAUUUCACAUGCAAACAUACAAGUCAUCAUAAUCACAGGCACUUAGUUCAUAAUUUAACCAAUCAAUCAUCUUAUCAUGCGAAGACUCCUAGACACGUCCGGACAUAGAAUGAAUGUAGAGUUGGGGCGGGUUGUGCACUUGUGAUGGCCCUACUGCUUUGCAAAGCCAUUGCCGAGGGGUUCCACCCGGCCAUACACAAGGCUAGUCCGUUACCGCAGUAUAGGCCUACAGUGAAAGCGCCUACCCUAGGACCUCCCACUACUCUCACCACACGCGUCAAUCCUCUCUAAGUGAGAAUGAAAGACCGUUAGAGUGUUAGGG